GACCUAAAACAUUCUGUUUGAUGAGCAAAACCCGAACAAAUCUGGAAAAGGCGGGGGAGGGGAUACAUUUUUACAGCACCACCAAAAAACUUCCUUUGUGGAAAUUUGAGUGAGUGAGUCGUUCAUGUGGAACAGAUCAUGUCUCCUCAUGCAGACGUGUCUCCGGUUCAUUCUCAGACCAACCCUGACCUUUCCACAAGCGUCUGUCUGUGACCUCUCUGCAAAUGUUACGCUAUCAUCCAAGCAUGACUGGCUUCUCCUUUUCUGCUCCAGUCUUCCUGCUGCAGCACGGGGAGGAUGAGGAGGGGGGAGGGAGGUUCACUCUGCCCCCCUCCCCCUCCUCCUCCUGAUGUGUCAACCAUAAUUAACUCUGCCACUGUUGCUCCACUCUGCUGAUUCUGCAAGGCGGUUAGAGAGUGAAACCACAGCAAAGCGGCGCCUCCUGCUCACAACAAGGUGAGUGUGGCUGCUGUGAAGAGGGUCAUCAGCAAGUGUGUUUGUUUAGUGCAAAAAACACACACACAGACACACACACACACAUACACACACACACACACACACACACACGUUUCAAUAAAGGACAUGACCAGAGUGGCAACCAUGGUAUAAACAAUGCAUUAAGAACAGCAACAUCAACAAGAACAA
This is a long non-coding RNA of Xiphophorus hellerii (green swordtail), 645 nucleotides long. RefSeq lists it as uncharacterized. NCBI's taxonomy places the organism in Eukaryota, Metazoa, Chordata, Actinopteri, Cyprinodontiformes, Poeciliidae. The record is from RefSeq and is a predicted model, not a curated record. The transcript has 2 exons.